GGAGAGAUAGCAUAAAUUUAAUGCGUUUCCCUUACACGGAAAAAAUAGCAAAAAGUUUCUCUCUA
This 65-nucleotide transfer RNA is filed under the name Tridacna squamosa. RNAcentral's name for it is "tRNA-Val". It matches the Rfam family "tRNA". Rfam says of the family: Transfer RNA (tRNA) molecules are approximately 80 nucleotides in length. Lineage: Eukaryota; Metazoa; Mollusca; Bivalvia; Cardiida; Cardiidae. The record is from RNAcentral.